GACCCGAAAUAUCCCUGUAUGCAACGUCACAACUCGCUGUUUUAUCUUGUUGUAUCACCAUCAGUGGUUGUGCUGUUGUUCGGGUAUCGUCGGUGUAAUGACCUCGCUGAAGGUCCUGUUCAGAAAAUUCUCAUUCUUUCGGACGAGCCAGAGGUCAUCUAGUUCUUGCUUCAGGGCUGCAACAACCUCCUUCAGAAGCUGAAUAUGUACACACCUACCACAGCUAUAGGAGCCAGAAACAUCAGUGUCCCUGACCUCCCACAUCAUGCAUGCAGCAGACUGAAUCAGCUUGGCAGUCAUGUCUUCACACUCUUCAACAGUGGCGUAAUCUCCUCACUGAGCCUCUUCGCCAAAAACCUUGCAUUUUACUCACCAGGCACCCCUCAACCCUUGUUUUUUGCUGUGAGUCUGUGGACUCUUAAUUCAGUUAGAGGAGGGUGGAAGGGAGGCCCUACCAUGUAGGGCCUGGGGCGGAGAACACACCUACUUAAAUAGCACUCACUUACCUUCCCAACUGCCUCUCUGCCCUGACCUCACGUCCGCCCGGCUCACGCCACUCUGCUGCAAAAAGCGUGCAUUUCCAGAUUUGCUGCCAGUAAGGGCUAAAAUUUUUUACUUCAAUGCACUUUGAGAUGACAGCUUCAGUCCCCAGGAAAUUUCCUGUACAAACGAUAGAAGGACUACCUAAACACUUCUUCAUAGGCGUGUGAAAGGCAUGGGGUCAGGAAGAUUGAAAUCACUCUUGUUGGAGACAGUUAGGACUGUAGAUGCUGGAAGUUAGAGUCAAUAAAUGUGGAGCUGGAAAAGCAUAGGUCAGACCUCAUCCAAGGAGCAGGGAAGUCAAUGUCUCCAGCCAAAACCCUUUGUCGGGACUCUGAGGAGCAGGGAAGUCAAUGUUUUCAGGCUGAACCCCUUUGUCAGGUCUCCAAGGAAGAUUUCCAAUUCAGACUAUAAACGGGACUAGCUAAGAAAAUCAGCGUUGUUGUAGACAGUAAGGACUGUAGAUGCUGGAAGUUAGAGUCAAUAAGUGUAGAACUGGAAAUGCAUAGCAGGUCAGACAGACAGAAGUCAAUAUUUCUAGCCAAAACUCUUCAUCGGGACUCUGAGGAGCAGGGAGCAGAGUCCUGAUAUGGGGUUUCAGCCUGAAACACUGACUUCCCUGCUCCUCAGAUGCAGUCUGAUCUGCUGUGCCUUUCCAGCUCCACAUUUCUUACUCACUCUUCUUGUAUCCCAGAUGUGUGACUCAUCUAUGUCCUAGAAAAACAAUGUAGUUGUAGACAUUAAGUGGGAUCAACUAUUAUGGAGAAUGUUAAUAAAUAGAUCUACAGGUCAUCCUGUACAGCAUUGGGCGUUAUGAUCGCUUUGUUCUAUUUAGUCCGAAGGCAUAAAAUCAACAAGAUCUCUUGAAGAGGUGGUUUGUCAAUGUAAGUCUUUCUUUCUUCAAAGUGCCUAUUAUGCUGACUGAGCUGCUACUUACAUAGGAGAAAGAAAUAAAGCGAAUGCAAGGAUGCCUCCCAGCUCAGUCUUUUAUUAAAAUCUUUUAUUCUUG
This is a long non-coding RNA of Stegostoma tigrinum, 1549 nucleotides long. RefSeq lists it as uncharacterized. The transcript has 2 exons. Lineage: Eukaryota; Metazoa; Chordata; Chondrichthyes; Orectolobiformes; Stegostomatidae. The record is from RefSeq and is a predicted model, not a curated record.